GACGAACGCUGGCGGCGUGCUUAACACAUGCAAGUCGAACGGAAAGGCCCUGCUUUUGUGGGGUGCUCGAGUGGCGAACGGGUGAGUAACACGGGAGUAACCUGCCCUUGACUUUGGGAUAACUUCAGGAAACUGGGGCUAAUACCGGAUAGGAGCUCCUGCUGCAUGGUGGGGGUUGGAAAGUUUCGGCGGUUGGGGAUGGACUCGCGGCUUAUCAGCUUGUUGGUGGGGUAGUGGCUUACCAAGGCUUUGACGGGUAGCCGGCCUGAGAGGGUGACCGGCAACAUUGGGACUGAGAUACGGCCCAGACUACUACGGGAGGCAGCAGUGGGGCAUAUUGCACAAUGGGCGGAAGCCUGAUGCAGCACCGACGCGUGCGGGAUGACGGCCUUCGGGUUGUAAACCGCUUGCGCCUGUGACGAAGCGUGAGUGACGGUAAUGGGUACAGAAGCACCGGCUAACUACGUG
RNAcentral lists this ribosomal RNA (468 nucleotides) under uncultured bacterium. RNAcentral describes it as "partial 16S ribosomal RNA". It matches the Rfam family "Bacterial small subunit ribosomal RNA", at positions 28 to 507 of the family's 1533-position model. The record is from RNAcentral.